This 541-nucleotide ribosomal RNA is filed under the name uncultured bacterium. RNAcentral's name for it is "bacterial SSU rRNA". It matches the Rfam family "Bacterial small subunit ribosomal RNA", at positions 777 to 1314 of the family's 1533-position model. The record is from RNAcentral.
AAUAGAUACCCCGGUAGUCCACGCUGUAAACGGUGGGUACUAGGUGUGGGGUCCAUUCCACGGGUUCCGCGCCGUAGCUAACGCUUUAAGUACCCCGCCUGGGGAGUACGGCCGCAAGGCUAAAACUCAAAGGAAUUGACGGGGCCCCGCACAAGCGGCGGAGCAUGCGGAUUAAUUCGAUGCAACGCGUAGAACCUUACCUGGGUUUGACAUGGAUCGGGAGUGCUCAGAGAUGGGUGUGCCUCUUUUGGGGUCGGUUCACAGGUGGUGCAUGGCUGUCGUCAGCUCGUGUCGUGAGAUGUUGGGUUAAGUCCCGCAACGAGCGCAACCCUUGUUCACUGUUGCCAGCACGUUAUGGUGGGGACUCAGUGGAGACCGCCGGGGUCAACUCGGAGGAAGGUGGGGAUGACGUCAAGUCAUCAUGCCCCUUAUGUCCAGGGCUUCACGCAUGCUACAAUGGCUGGUACAGAGAGUGGCGAGCCUGUGAGGGUGAGCGAAUCUCGGAAAGCCGGUCUCAGUUCGGAUUGGGGUCUGCAACUCG